This 625-nucleotide long non-coding RNA is filed under the name Chinchilla lanigera (long-tailed chinchilla). Its description in RNAcentral is "lncRNA (ENSCLAG00000025006.1)". Lineage: Eukaryota; Metazoa; Chordata; Mammalia; Rodentia; Chinchillidae. The record is from RNAcentral.
CUGCGGGGAGUGCGGGCGGCGGGAAGGACGGGAGCGCCCCGGGGGAGGGGCAGGGAGGGGCGCCGCCGAGACCCGGAGCGGCUCCGGGAGCUGCUGCGGUGCGGAUACUUCUCCCACGGGAAUUGCCAUACCCGUCCAGUGCGCACCGGAUUCUGAAGUCCCUGCUCCGUUCCCUCAGUUACACACGCACCCAUCCCUCACCUUCGCACUUCUGUCUUCAUGCAUUCACGCAGCACCGCCCCCGCACGCAUACUCCUCCCACUGUACAAGAGCCCUGCACCAGCGCCCCCCACCGCAGGUAUUCUGUUCCUCGCCGCACGCGGCCCUCUGUGACAGCAUGCCAACCAGCCGCUCCACCAACCCACACACGUAACAAGUAGGGGUGCUUCCUUCCUUUUACCCACUAUAUUAUGCAGUCUUCUACGUACAUAGAGAUAUACCCACUCCCCCGGUGGUGUGCUGGGGAUCAAACCCAGGGCUUCCCACACGCUAGGCAAGUAUGUUACUACUGGCUCGAUCCCUCGUCCUAAACCUUUUUAUAGCCGAGCACCGAUUGCAUCCUAGGAAGGGCAGUCUUUCACUGCUUACUUACAUAUAGCAAUCGUGUAUAUCUAUACAUGCACAC